GCCUACAUGAAGCUGGAGUUGCUAGUAAUCGCGAAUCAGCAUGUCGCGGUGAAUACGUUCCCGGGCCUUGUACACACCGCCCGUCACACCAUGAGAGUCGGCAAUACCCAACGUACGUGAUCUAACCCGCAAGGGAGGAAGCGUCCUAAGGUAGGGUCAGCGAUUGGGGUGAAGUCGUAACAAGGUAGC
RNAcentral lists this ribosomal RNA (189 nucleotides) under uncultured bacterium. RNAcentral describes it as "partial 16S ribosomal RNA". It matches the Rfam family "Bacterial small subunit ribosomal RNA", at positions 1314 to 1500 of the family's 1533-position model. The record is from RNAcentral.